RNAcentral lists this ribosomal RNA (497 nucleotides) under uncultured bacterium. RNAcentral's name for it is "partial 16S ribosomal RNA". It matches the Rfam family "Bacterial small subunit ribosomal RNA", at positions 28 to 507 of the family's 1533-position model. The record is from RNAcentral.
GAUGAACGCUGGCGGCGUGCCUAAUACAUGCAAGUCGAGCGAACAGACGAGGAGCUUGCUCCUCUGACGUUAGCGGCGGACGGGUGAGUAACACGUGGAUAACCUACCUAUAAGACUGGGAUAACUUCGGGAAACCGGAGCUAAUACCGGAUAAUAUAUUGAACCGCAUGGUUCAAUAGUGAAAGACGGUUUUGCUGUCACUUAUAGAUGGAUCCGCGUCGCAUUAGCUAGUUGGUAAGGUAACGGCUUACCAAGGCAACGAUGCGUAGCCGACCGGAGAGGGUGAUCGGCCACACUGGAACUGAGACACGGUCCAGACUCCUACGGGAGGCAGCAGUAGGGAAUCUUCCGCAAUGGGCGAAAUCCUGACGGAGCAACGCCGCGUGAGUGAUGAAGGUCUUCGGAUCGUAAAACUCUGUUAUUAGGGAAGAACAAAUGUGUAAGUAACUAUGCACGUCUUGACGGUACCUAAUCAGAAAGCCACGGCUAACUACGUG